AACCGAGGCAGAGUGAUGGUGGUAUUGUUUCGAUUACGAGAAGAGCUUGUCGUGAGAAAAAGGGUACUAUAAGGAAAAAUAACGUGUCGCGGUAUUCGUUUGGCUGUCGCGUCACAUGUGUCAGUGUAAACAAGCCAAAAAUACUAGGAUGGAUGAACGGGCAAUAGGAAAAAAGAGAAAGGAACGAUUAGAGCUGAUGAUGCUAAAUGAAGGAGGAUUUAAUGAAAAGCUUUAAUUUUAUCGCACAAGACAUUGAAUGAAUACAUGGUCCUCUAUCAUAGAUGAAGAUGAAUGGGGAGAUGAAUGCAAUGGGAUUCUUUUAGAAUGUUGUCUUUUUGUUUUGAGCAGAGACUAAAAACGAAAUGGGAAUUAUUUGGCGAAAGGUGUUGGUGUAUGCAAAACAGACUCAAUACUCAUAUGAUCGGUUGUGGAUAGGAGUGCAACAUUACCAAGUCCAUGAGAAUCGAACAAAAAUCAAUAAUAGGAGGAAAAGAUUUCAACAAGAAAGAGUAUAAGCGAAAAUGAGUUUUUCAUUGAACUCUUCUGUUCCAAAAUUUGUUUUGUACAGUUUUCACCUCACCUUUCAAAAAACUAUUGUAUGAGCAUGGAAAGCUAGUUAGACGAUGGGCAAUUCUA
Non-coding RNA from Schizosaccharomyces pombe (fission yeast), 636 nucleotides. NCBI's taxonomy places the organism in Eukaryota, Fungi, Ascomycota, Schizosaccharomycetes, Schizosaccharomycetales, Schizosaccharomycetaceae. The record is from the annotation of a GenBank genome assembly.